RNAcentral lists this ribosomal RNA (158 nucleotides) under uncultured bacterium. RNAcentral describes it as "partial 16S ribosomal RNA". It matches the Rfam family "Bacterial small subunit ribosomal RNA", at positions 355 to 509 of the family's 1533-position model. The record is from RNAcentral.
UGAGGAAUAUUGGUCAAUGGGCUUACGCCUGAACCAGCCAAGUCGCGUGAGGGAAGACUGCCCUAUGGGUUGUAAACCUCUUUUGUCAGGGAGCAAUUGGCGCUACGUGUAGCGUUAUCGAAAGUACCUGAAGAAAAAGCAUCGGCUAACUCCGUGCC